CUACGGGGCGCACCAGUGGGGAAUAUUGGACAAUGGGCGAAAGCCUGAUCCAGCCAUGCCGCGUGGAUGAAGAAGGCCCUAGGGUUGUAAAGUCCUUUCGGUGGUGAAGAUAAUGACGGUAACCACAGAAGGAGCCCCGGCUAAUUUCGUGCCAGCAGCCGCGGUAAUACGAAAGGGGCUAGCGUUGUUCGGAAUUACUGGGCGUAAAGCGCACGUAGGCGGCCUUGUAAGUUGGGGGUGAAAUCCCGGAGCUCAACUCCGGAACUGCCUUCAAAACUACAAAGCUAGAGGAUGUGAGAGGAUAGUGGAAUUCCGAGUGUAGAGGUGAAAUUCGUAGAUAUUCGGAAGAACACCGGUGGCGAAGGCGACUGUCUGGCACAUUUCUGACGCUGAGGUGCGAAAGCGUGGGGAGCAAACAGGAUUAGAUACCCUUGUAGUC
Molecule: ribosomal RNA, 439 nt
Filed under: uncultured bacterium
Lineage: Bacteria
Description: partial 16S ribosomal RNA
Rfam family: Bacterial small subunit ribosomal RNA
Source: RNAcentral